GAUCAAACUCUGUUUGGCAGCACCUUUAUCCACUUCUCAGUUCCCUUAUCCGACAUUUUUACCUUUGGACCCUUCUAGGUAUAAGGACCUUCCAACAUCAGCUGUCCUCUGACCUCCACACACCCACUGUGAUAUGUGCCCAUCCCCACAAAUAUGUUUGUAAUAAAAAGACGUGCCAACAAUUUCUUUUCAAGGUGCUUGCUGUCAUAAUUGCCAUCACAAUGGGCUCUGUUGCCAUGUCAUAGCUGGGGUUAGCUUUGUGCUGGGUCUGGGGCUAGCCUUAACACUUACAGGCCGACUUUGCUUCUUCCAGUGAGGAGUCUCUCAGACCUAAGAACAACAACAAAAAUAACGAACAAGGGGUGUAGCUGGCUGUCCAUGACUCUGGCCACUAGUAUCUCAGUUUAUAUGGAUUACACAGAAUGAGAGUUUACCCAUUUCCACACGUCGUUAUCAACUCUCCAUGAAGUUCAAAAGGACAAAAGAUGAAAGCGGACUCGGCUAGCUUUCCGUGGUAUUUCCACGUGCAUGUGGGGACUUUCCUUUGAGACAAGGCUGGGGUGGGGGCCAAUAAUAUCUGGUAUCGCCUGACUGCUAAUACCAAGCUGAUGAGAAGGCGCUCGGACAUGGACCGAGGGGAUCAGAUACUCCGGGUCCCUUCUAAUUCUCUCUGCAUUUCUAAAUUGAGAAUCUUUGUCACCGGCUCCUCGCAUCCCAGGUCUCCCCCAAUUUUCCUCGCAGGCCUGU
This 747-nucleotide long non-coding RNA is filed under the name Mus spicilegus (steppe mouse). RNAcentral's name for it is "lncRNA (ENSMSIG00000010549.1)". Lineage: Eukaryota; Metazoa; Chordata; Mammalia; Rodentia; Muridae. The record is from RNAcentral.